GGCGGUGUGCUUCACACAUGCAAGUCGAACGGGGUAGCAAUACCCAGUGGCGGACGGGUGAGUAACACGUGGGAAUCUGCCUUAGAGAGGGGGAUAGCAGGCCGAAAGGCCUAUUAAUACCCCAUACGCCGUAAGGUGAAAGGAGUAAUCCGCUCUAAGAUGAGCCCGCGUCCGAUUAGCUAGUUGGUAGGGUAAAGGCCUACCAAGGCACCGAUCGGUAGGUGGUCUGAGAGGAUGAUCACCCACAAUGGGACUGAGACACGGCCCAUACUCCUACGGGAGGCAGCAGUGGGGAAUUUUACACAAUGGGGGAAACCCUGAUGUAGCGACACCGCGUGAGCGAAGAAGCCCUUUGGGGUGUAAAGCUCUGUCAGCAGGGACGAAAAAAAUGACGGUACCUGCAGAGGAAGCAUCGGCUAACUACGUGCCAGCAGCCGCGGUAAGACGUANGAUGCGAGCGUUGUCCGGAUUUAUUGGGCGUAAAGA
Molecule: ribosomal RNA, 486 nt
Filed under: uncultured bacterium
Lineage: Bacteria
Description: bacterial SSU rRNA
Rfam family: Bacterial small subunit ribosomal RNA
Source: RNAcentral